This is a long non-coding RNA of Ictalurus punctatus (channel catfish), 1320 nucleotides long. The record is from Ensembl. NCBI's taxonomy places the organism in Eukaryota, Metazoa, Chordata, Actinopteri, Siluriformes, Ictaluridae.
AUAUCAUCAUACUUAAUUAUGUCUUAUAGCAGUAAUAUGUCACGCAGUCACAUCGCGAUCAUCUAUCACACGCGAUCACACGUGUUCACGUGAUAUGAUCACGCACAUGGAGGGAGGAAACUGUGGAGGAUGAGCAUGGGGAGAGGAGGAGACGGGGGGAGCAGGUGACUGAUGAAGAGGAUGACAUUGAAGAGUCCCCUCCCAGAAGAAGACAGUGUGUGGAGCAUGAGGAUGCUGACGAUGAGCCAAUUGAUUUCGCUAGUUUGGAGAGGAACUCGUCCCCUUUGUGGCGCUUAUCCCCUACUUUGGUGUUCGUUCCAUCUGCAGAUGCUCCCUCCAGCAGUGAGCAUUUCUGGUGGAUGAUGAUGAUGAGGGAGCAGAUGAACGAUGAAGAGGACAGUGAUGAAGAGGCCCCUCCUAGAAGAAGGCAGCAUGUGGAGCAGGAAGAUGACGACUAUGAGGUGUCUGAGCUCAGUAAUUCGGAGAGUAGCUCACCCCCUUUGUGGAGCUUAUUCCCAGCUUUGGAGUGUAUCCACAACAUGCAAGAGCACUCCAGCAGUGAGCAUUUCUGUGGGAGGAGGAGACGGAGGGAGCAGAUGACUGAAGAAGAUGACAGUGAUGAAGAGGCCCCUCCCAAAAGAAGACUGCGUGCGGAACGAGAGUAUGAUGAAGAUUGAGGUGUCUGAGCACACUUAUUUGGAGAGGAGCUCAUAGUAAGCCAUAACAUUAAAACCACUGACAGUUGAAGUGAAUAACAUUGAUUAUCUUAUUACAGUGGCAACUGUCAAGGGGUUCACUGAUGCUCACAUGCCCAUUGUAGGCAUUUUCGGUAGGUGACAGGGGUCAGCAUGGACACGCUGACCGGUCUGCGGCUAUAUAGCUCUUCUGUGAAUUUGGACCGGACGGCCUAGCCUUCGCUCCACAAGCAUCCGUGAGCCUUGUCGAUGGUUCACUAAUUGUCUUUCCAUGGACCACUUAACCACUGCAUAACAGGAGCACCUGAGAAGACCUGCCAUUUUGGAGAUGCUCUGACCCAAUCGUCUAGCCAUUACAAGUUGGCCCUUUUCCUGCUUCCAACACAUCAACUUGCUGUCUAAUAUAUCCCAAUGAAUAUCUCAUUACAAAGUCAAACCACUGUAAUGAGAUAUUCAAUGUCCGUCCUGUCCCGUCCCGUCAACCAGUCUGUAUGUUUGUAUACACCUGAUUUCAAAUCCCAAUUGUAAAAUAUAAAAUCUGUAAUGUCAAAAUCUACAUCAUCAAUUGCUACAUAGGCUAAAGACUUAGCUCAUACCUGUGUUAAAUGCAUAGGCUUUGUACAGU